Molecule: long non-coding RNA, 6121 nt
Organism: Betta splendens (Siamese fighting fish)
Lineage: Eukaryota; Metazoa; Chordata; Actinopteri; Anabantiformes; Osphronemidae
Exons: 4
Source: RefSeq, a predicted model, not a curated record
AUCUCUUUUUCAGCUUAGCUGCUCUUCACAUUCCUCUGACACUUCCCUCUAAGUCCCAAGCAGUGAUUUGAAUUCAGAUGGCAGAUGAGAAAGUAGCAGAACUGUCUGAUAAAAGGAGCGGGAACUAUUCCCCCUUUUAACUCACUUUUCAAAACACCCGUCAUGCAAAAUCCACCCCCCCCAUCUAUUCUCCCGUGGCACUGAAUGGUCGGCCGUCUCUUCCUUUCACACAGCAUCCAUAUUUCAUGGUACCAAUGCAAAUGCUCUUUGUAGCAUGAAUAUUAAAGAGGGGAAACAGAAGGAAGGUCAUCAAAUAGUCGCGAGUGAAGCAGCUCCACUAUCACCAGAGAGACGCCUCGCUCUUGUUCUCUAAUAUGACCACUGAACACACACACACACACACACACACACACACACACACACACACACACACACACACACACACACACACACACACACACACACACACACACACACACACACACACACACACACAGGAUACAUUUAGGGAUCAGACCAGGAUAAAAGCGACAUUUAUCAACGCAAAGGUCGCGUCCUUCGCCUACAAGAGCAAUAUUCUAGGAUAAACCACUUCCAGCCACUUCCAGGUCAAACAGUGGAAACAAUGCUCCUAGACUUUGUCCCCGUGUCACAGACUGUGUAAUAAUUCAACAAGCUGAAUACAGAAAAAAUGUCACCCGCUGGCGAGUGACGCACAUUCAUACGCGGCUGAAAAAAGAAACAUUCUUCUUUCUUGCAGUCCCACUUUUCCGUCUCACUGGCGGUUUCAGCCUGAGACCACUUCUUAUUAUUAUUAUUUUCCUUUUAUUCAUUUCUGAAGAAAAGCGGCGCUGUUUUACACAGCUGCCUUUUUUUAUGGCCGUAAAUACAUCUCCUGAGUCAAAUGCUUUUUACUCCUUCCUGGUGUUGCUCCGCUGCCUAAUUCAAGGUGGCACCUGAAACACACAAGCGCUCCCGUCUCAUCCGCUUCCCCCCGACCCUUCACUCCCGACCGUAAUCGGAUGUGGCUUUCCAUCAUUUCCAGAGCCACAAACGCUUCACCUGCACACGCACGCACGCUGACGCCACACCUGGAGCUCAUCUGUUUCACCGGCUCCCUCCCAGCGAGUCCGGUCCCCGCCUCCAGUCUGGACACACGGACUUCAGGAGCACUUUCAUCCAAAUAUUGCGCUUCUUUUUUAUCACUGCCAGUCCCACUCGCACAAAACGGUUGAUUUCAUUUUCCCAGCUCUGACAAAAUAACAUAUGGGAAUAAUGAAGUAUUCAGCCAGUCAUUACUUUGGUGUCAAAAGGCUGGACUGUGUCGCGGGGGAACGUGCUCUGAACGAGGACACGCGUGCGUCCGUGUGCGGAUCUGACAGAUGCCGUACGAGGAGUAAUCACUGGCCCGAAUGUCAUCAUUCAGAGUGCGAGGGAUGGAUGGUGUUAUUUGUACGCAAUUUGUCAAAAUGUCACGGUGACACCGAGCCGGGCGGUAACAAAAGACAGGGACGUUUGUACAGAUAAGGCAGAAUACAGAAGCACGGAGGAGCAGAUGAGGGGCCUGGACGGGUCCUCGGUGCCAGACGGGUGGUCCGGGCCUCGGGGGUGGGGGGCAGGUGACGCACCCGACAGCAGCCAGCAAAUGAAGACGAAUGCCCAGAAUCUCCCUCUGCCAUAAACUCCCCCUCAGCGCAGACACCCGCGUAGCAUGAAGACGCUAACGCAGACUCGCAGCGUCCGUCUGCCGCCGGCUCCGCUCCUGACGUGGUGGAGGUUUGCCUUUUAAUAUUUCUACCUGAUGAACAAAUUAUUGUCUGGCGUGGGAAAGCGGAGCGGGGCCACAGAUGCCUGACGGCGGGAGCAUCCCACUGCCGCGGCCGAGGAGGAGAGGCCAGCGGUGGCCCCUGCCGACCCCGUAUGCCAGCGGCGCAUUAGCCCGAUCAGCGGCAGGCGGCAGCGGGAGGCGGCUGAUUAAAAUAUCCGCACGUGUGAGAAACAACUGCGAGCAUGUGUGCAAUUAAAAAUGAAAGACGAUGAUGAUGUCAUUUAUGAUUCGGGACCAUUUACAUCAGGAUGUCUGGAGGUCGCUGCCCUGUAUCAGCACCCAGUGUUUCCUCAGGGAAAUGCUCACCUGACGUGGGCAACGUUAGCGACGGUUACAUAAGAGUGGAGUCAGGCUGCAGCGCGUAGAAAGAGGACCGCUGGAGCCCAGGCUGGUCUUGCUCCAAUCAUUUCGUAGUAUUUGGAAGUGAUUAAAUUGGGCUUAUGAUGCAACAGUCCCGAUGACCCGGACUUACAAGAAUGUGAACAGACGGAGUCAUUCAUCACAGCAUUAAUCCUCUCAUCCUUUUAUUAGAGAGCCAGUCCACUCUGCUGCCGUGCAACCCCACUUCCACACAUCACACAUCCACUAAUACGGAUACGGAAACCUGAAAGAGAGCAUUCGGCGCUCAGAGUCUCGAUAUUCGCGUUCUUUCUGGAAGAGCCCGAUGGAUAAAGCUUCAUGGACAUCUACAGCCCCCUCCUCCUCCUCCUUCUCUACUGUGGCUGCUCAGCUUCACAUCGGAGGAGCUUCAGACGUGCCCUAAUUCAAAUCAGCUCCAACUGCUUUGAACAGUCAAAUUCAGCAUGUUUAUUAAUUUUCAGAAUGAGCUGUGAAAUCUUGCUGCACUAAACCCCAUGAAAAUAAGAAGCUAAUCAUGAGCCCAGUGCAGCUGCUCUCUGUGCUCUGCAUUGAUUUGCUACGGAUAAACGCUUCUGGUUGCCUCCUUUUAAUGGCUUUUGAAUAUCUUUGCUUUCGUGCCCUUCGCCUCCGCUGCAGCGCUCGUGCCUUUGACUCUUCCUCCCGCGGUGCGGUCUGAUGUGCUCGUCUGCCCGCUGUCCCUGCUGCUCCUGUCAAAGCGGCUGCACCCGCUCUUAAGCCGACCACCAGCGGAGCAGCUCGGCCUUUGAUGUGAAGCAUCUCGAUGGCUCUCACUCAGCCCCGAGGCUCCGCUUUACAGCUCCAGCGCAGACCUGGACCACGUGCGUGUGAAUGAAAUACUGCAGAGAUAACGAUAUCACUGCAGCUUAUGAGACAUUUACCUGCAGGACCGCAAUGAAGCUGCUCUUAAUGCUGCCAAUCAAUUGAAUUUUGUCGACUUUCUUCUUGAACGGCUACAAUAAAAACUAAUGUGGUUCAAGCCACAUUGGACAACUCUGAUUGUAAUCUGUGCCAUUCCGUCUGCAGUGUCAGGCUUUUGUUUUCCUGCAACAAUGUGUCCUCCUCUUCCUGCACAGUACACGGCGUUGUGUUACCAGUCACACUGCGGUUUUCAUAACAGCUCUGAGAAAAGCUUAGCAGAAACAGGGUCAGAGUCAGAUAAAGAAUACACCGUAAGUAUCUGAAUCUGAAGUUAUUAUGAUGAGACCGAGGAGAGCUGCCGCGUAAACGUAAGAAGGCCUUGAUGUGGCCACGCGAGAGAAAGACGACCCGGGUGACGGCGAGGAGAAUAGACGGAGAGUGAGGGCUUUAAAGCUCAAUGAGCAGAGGAAGGAGGAAGGAGACAGUGGGAAAGACAGACCAUCACUGUUGGAUGUGAGUAAAAUGAGAAGCCAGCUCACACUUGGAGCUGUGCCUCUCUCUCCCCCCUGUGAUCUUUCUAACGCCCCUCUGCUCGUCAUCCCUUCCCCUCUGGUCCCUUCUCCCUCCCUCCCUCCAUCGACCUCCCUCGUGGCUGCCCUAUGACGCUGAGCAGACGUUUGGGUUAGCUCCACCGAGAGGAUGGAGGAGGGGGGGGGGUCUGGACAUAAAUAGAAAGUGGCCUAUCGCUAACCCACGGUGCUGAACAUGGUGAGCAGCGAUUAAUGCAUGGACGAGCGGGGAUCAACCGCAUGAAUGCUGCAUUAACGCAGUGUGUGUGCGUGGGACGCCAACGCCUGCAAGGUUUUAAGACAAGAGUCUGAAUCUGAGGCCAUCUUCAUGCCUGCAACAGCAAUUGUGACAAAUGAGGACCGUGCUUAACGUUUUCACUCGGGUGUUUUUACCCUGUGUUGAACUGGACUUUGAAAAGGUCUAUUAAUCUGAGAGGGAGAGUAAAUGUGCGCACCCCAUUGAGUUGGCUCCUAACCCUGUGGUAGAGAUGCCGGACCAGGCCGCGCUACAUGCUAAUUGCGGCGCGCAUCGACUGAGGCCUAUUUUUAAACUGAAAUGGUUACAUAAUUAAAAGCGGAUCUAUAAGUCAAUUGAAGGUGAACGGAGAGCGGUAUAAACACGUCAACGGCCCCCCGGGGAGCUGCUACGCACACGUACGUUGUCCCAUCACUGUGAACACGCUUCCCCUCUGCUCCGCACUCACGUGUCGCAAACACAGGGACGAAUGGAGGGUGGCUCUAAUUUGCGUUUCUAAAUAUUCAACGCCCGCUUGACGCAUGGCAACCUGGUCAGAAACAGUGAAGUGGCCUCAGCCCAGUGAAUGGGAAGAGGGAGGGAAUCAUUCACAGACUGAAUUAAUUCCAAUUGUCUUGUGUCAUUUCCAUUACAUGAGAAAAUCAUUUGUGUGCAGUCAUUAUGCUAAAUUAUUCAAAUGGAAACAAUGAGCAACAGCAGCGCGUCCUGUUCGGGUUUCGACCCUUUGGACAAGAAACGUGGAGUGCAGAGAACGAGGAUGCUCACGUAGUCACGUACAGUAAAGGUAAAGGCGUCUGCAUUGGAGUGCAGGGUGUCACUGCACUGCAUCUAGUGUGUUGCUUCCAGAUGUCGCCUUUGAGGGAAAACAACAGAUCUGGCACCCGGGUUCUUGUUUUGGUGAAGCUCUGCUGAACACACGAACGAGGGCUUUGAUCGUGUCAGAGAAUCGUCUCCCAACGCGAAGGAGUCCAGAACGCCGGUGUUCCGCUGUGGGAGCCGUCACCGCGCGGCCGCAGCGGCGCACAGUGUUUAGCCCUAAUGAGCCUCUGACUUCGAGGCACAUCAAUGAGGCGCCUCAUUCAUAAUAAAGAGCCUCAGUCCCGCGGGCAGCGGCUAAAUGAACUGGGACUGAAAGCAGGCAAACAGUUUAGCCCGUUCCCUGGGCUCAGAGAGCGAUAAUUAAACGUGCGGCUAAAACCCAGAGAGGAGGAUGGAGGCGCACGCGAACGGCCACACUAUGAGUCAAGUGAUGAAAAUAAUAACAUAGCUGUUUAUAUGCUAGCCAGAAAUGACGGUGAUGUGGACGUUGCAGCAUCCAGGUGAGGAUUCAGGAUUUAAACCAGCAGAAAUGAUAUUCAGCAAAGUAAACGAAGCUCCAAGGCAUUUUAAAAACACAGACCUUUCACUGUGCAGAACUCAAAAUAAACUGUUUUGUUGCUCGCUGCCUCCAAAUCCUAUGAGAAAUUAUCAAUGAAUCAUCUCUGCGCUGGGCUCAGAGCGCGCGGGAGGAUUAGCGGUGUUUAUUAUCAUUAUCCUAAUAGUCUCAAUCCAAAUGAAAUGAAUUCCAGGAAGCUUCGGUCGUGGGCACGCGGCACCGACGCGUCGGUCACAAACGGGCCCGAGUGACGAACGAGGCCCCUGCAGGUCGGCGCCGACGCUGAUGGAUCAGCCUCCGAGGCCGACGCGUGACGGGCGGAGGCGAGGCAGAACAGUCGGUGUGGAGUCCUCUCUCCGUCUCUGCACUGCAGAAAAUGGCAGCUCCGCCUCUGGUACAGGCGUCCAAAAGAUCCGUUUCUGGGAACCUUUGCGAGAGCUCUGGAAGUCUUCGAAGAUGCCGGAGCGACUAUGAACCGAGGCUGCAGGUCCGGUUUGCAGGUGGAACACGGAGGUCUGGGUCUGAAACACACGGGCCCCGAAGAACUGGAGGAGACGCUCCUGAAAUCCAGAUGUGCUUGGCCUCUAAUCUCCCUCAUCAGUGUUCGUGCUCUCUUUCCUCCUCCCAGCCACACGCCUGAGCUCCGCCGGCAGCGGCGGGUGAUUCGGGGCCUUCGCUCCCUCUCCUCCCUCCCUCCCUCCGUCGCGCGUCACCCUCUGACGUCGUCACGUAGCGUUCGGAGCGAGUCCUCGGAGGCCGGACGUUUGAAGCAUUGAUUGAAGUGGCUCCGUCCCCCGAGCGCCAUUAUGUAACAGAGAUGUAAAAUCCACAAAGUCACUGAGACGGGAGAUAGA